GCCGGAGUGGUGAAAUUGGUAGACACGCCACCUUGAGGGGGUGGUGGAGAGAUCCGUGCUGGUUCGAGUCCAGUCUCCGGUACCA
This 85-nucleotide transfer RNA is filed under the name Mariprofundaceae bacterium. Its description in RNAcentral is "tRNA-Leu". It matches the Rfam family "tRNA". Rfam says of the family: Transfer RNA (tRNA) molecules are approximately 80 nucleotides in length. Their secondary structure includes four short double-helical elements and three loops (D, anti-codon, and T loops). The record is from RNAcentral. Lineage: Bacteria; Pseudomonadati; Pseudomonadota; Candidatius Mariprofundia; Mariprofundales; Mariprofundaceae.